Molecule: ribosomal RNA, 159 nt
Rfam family: 5.8S ribosomal RNA
About the family: 5.8S ribosomal RNA (5.8S rRNA) is a component of the large subunit of the eukaryotic ribosome. It is transcribed by RNA polymerase I as part of the 45S precursor that also contains 18S and 28S rRNA.
CAACUUUCAGCAGUGGAUGUCUAGGCUCGCACAUCGAUGGAGGACCCUGCGAACUGCGAUACGUAAUGCGAAUUGCAGGAUUCAGUGAGUCAUCGAAAUUUGGAACGCAUAUUGCACUUCCGGGUUAGUCCUGGAAGUAUGCCUGUAUCAGUGUCCGUA